CCUGAUGGGGAGCUGUUUCUGGAGUUGAUAUUAGAAUGCCACGUAUCCAAUCUAUUUCAAACCUAUUUACUUACUCCUGCAAGCCAUGUGUAUGGUGCUGGUUUACAAAUUCUCAAAGACACACAAGCUGCCAGGUGGCACAACAAGCCUUCCGGAGGGGAAAAACCCAGAAUAUUUGGCCGUGGUGGAGUCGCGUUUGAAUCAUUCCAUUCCACCCAACCUCCUC
Molecule: long non-coding RNA, 226 nt
Filed under: Hordeum vulgare
Lineage: Eukaryota; Viridiplantae; Streptophyta; Magnoliopsida; Poales; Poaceae
Description: long non-coding RNA (HVUL_LNC003065)
Source: RNAcentral